RNAcentral lists this long non-coding RNA (628 nucleotides) under Nicotiana benthamiana. RNAcentral describes it as "long non-coding RNA (NBEN_LNC010666)". The record is from RNAcentral. Lineage: Eukaryota; Viridiplantae; Streptophyta; Magnoliopsida; Solanales; Solanaceae.
UUCGGGAUUGAGGCAUAAUUUUUUAAUUGAUAUUUAACUUAUCCAAAGACAACGAUCAUACUUGAAUCUUCCCAAAUACACAUACAAGCUAAGCUGCUACUUAUAUACAUAAACAUAAGCAAAUCACGUAAGAGAUCCAAUUAUAACUUACUGUAUUAAACAGAAAAUACAAAGCAAAAAAUUACACAUCCACAGGUGAAAAUGAAAAAAGAAUAACAUAAUCAACCAUUGUCAUUAAAACUGAACAUAAACAGUAAGCUCGAAUUUCAGGUCAAAGUUGAAAGUCAAUUAACAUUUAUUUUCCAACUCUCUAAAAACCACAAACUAUCAACAAGGAUAAACUAUCCCCAAUUUAUCGCAAAAUACAAAGCAAAAAAUUACACAUCUACAGGUGAAAAUGAAAAAAGAAUAACAUAAUCAACCAUUGUCAUUAAAACAGAACAUACAACAGUAAGCUCGAAAUUCAGGUCAAAGUUGAAAGUCAAUUAACAUUUAUUUUCCAACUCUCUAAAAACCACAAACUAUCAACAAGGAUAAACUAUCCCCAAUUUAUCGAAAACCCCUAAUUUGACAAUCCAAAAAAGGAGCGAAAUUCAAAACCAUACCCAAAAAUGAUGCACAGAUUCAU